This 492-nucleotide ribosomal RNA is filed under the name uncultured bacterium. RNAcentral's name for it is "partial 16S ribosomal RNA". It matches the Rfam family "Bacterial small subunit ribosomal RNA", at positions 29 to 507 of the family's 1533-position model. The record is from RNAcentral.
AGUGAACGCUGGCGGUAGGCCUAACACAUGCAAGUCGAACGGCAGCACAGUAAGAGCUUGCUCUUACGGGUGGCGAGUGGCGGACGGGUGAGGAAUACAUCGGAAUCUACUUUUUCGUGGGGGAUAACGUAGGGAAACUUACGCUAAUACCGCAUACGACCUACGGGUGAAAGCAGGGGAUCUUCGGACCUUGCGCGAUUGAAUGAGCCGAUGUCGGAUUAGCUAGUUGGCGGGGUAAAGGCCCACCAAGGCGACGAUCCGUAGCUGGUCUGAGAGGAUGGUAAGCCACACUGGAACUGAGACACGGUCCAGACUACUACGGGAGGCAGCAGUGGGGAGUAUUGGACAAUGGGCGCAAGCCUGAUCCAGCCAUACCGCGUGGGUGAAGAAGGCCUUCGGGUUGUAAAGCCCUUUUGUUGGGAAAGAAAAGCAGCAGGUUAAUACCCCGCUGUUCUGACGGUACCCAAAGAAUAAGCACCGGCUAACUUCGUG